This 200-nucleotide microRNA precursor is filed under the name Oryza glumipatula. Its description in RNAcentral is "MIR812 microRNA precursor family". It matches the Rfam family "MIR812 microRNA precursor family". The record is from Rfam by way of RNAcentral. Lineage: Eukaryota; Viridiplantae; Streptophyta; Magnoliopsida; Poales; Poaceae.
AAUAAGUGCAGUCAUGGAUAUCCGUGUUCAACAUUUGACCGUCCAUCUUAUUUGAAAAAUUUGUGAAAAAUUUUAAAAUAUUUAGUCACACAUAAAGUACUAUUCAUAUUUUAUCAUAAUAAAAAUAAUAAUCAUAAAAAAUUUUCAAAUAAGACGAACGGUCAAACGUUAAACGUGAAUAGUACAAAACUGCACUUAUU